AGUGAACGCUGGCGGUAGGCCUAACACAUGCAAGUCGAACGGCAGCACAGUAAGGGUUGCUCUUACGGGGGGCGGGGGGCCGGCGGGGGGGGGAUACAACGGAAUCUACUUUUUUGUGGGGGGUAAAGGUGGGGAAAUUAACCUAAUACCCCCUAAGACCUACGGGGGGAAGCAAGGGAACUUUCGGCCUUUCGCGGUUUGAUUGGCCGGAUGUCGGAUUAGCUAGUUGGCGGGGUAAAGGCCCACCAAGGCGACGAUCCGUAGCUGGUCUGAGAGGAUGAUCAGCCACACUGGAACUGAGACACGGUCCAGACUCCUACGGGAGGCAGCAGUGGGGAAUAUUGGACAAUGGGCGCAAGCCUGAUCCAGCCAUACCGCGUGGGUGAAGAAGGCCUUCGGGUUGUAAAGCCCUUUUGUUGGGAAAGAAAAGCAGCAGGUUAAUACCCCGCUGUUCUGACGGUACCCAAAGAAUAAGCACCGGCUAACUUCGUG
This 492-nucleotide ribosomal RNA is filed under the name uncultured bacterium. Its description in RNAcentral is "partial 16S ribosomal RNA". It matches the Rfam family "Bacterial small subunit ribosomal RNA", at positions 29 to 507 of the family's 1533-position model. The record is from RNAcentral.